CAUGUUGAUGUAGAGGGUGAAGUGGUGAUGAGUGAUAUGACUCCCCACAUAGGAAGGGCGUGCUCAUAAACCAUCUCUCUGCUCUUCUUCUCUGUGGAAUUCUCAGCUAUUUCUCACACUCCCUCUCUCCACAUUUUCUCUCUCUGAAUUUCGGAACUUCAUCAGUAGGGAAAAAGAUCAAAGCUGAAACCCCAUCUUCUCCACUGAUUCUAAGAUUAGGGUUUCAUUUUUCUUCUCGACAGCUCCAAUUUCGGUAUAUAAGUGCUUGGAUUGAAUAUUGUGG
Molecule: long non-coding RNA, 283 nt
Filed under: Vitis vinifera (wine grape)
Lineage: Eukaryota; Viridiplantae; Streptophyta; Magnoliopsida; Vitales; Vitaceae
Description: long non-coding RNA (VVIN_LNC002976)
Source: RNAcentral